Molecule: ribosomal RNA, 478 nt
Filed under: uncultured bacterium
Lineage: Bacteria
Description: bacterial SSU rRNA
Rfam family: Bacterial small subunit ribosomal RNA
Source: RNAcentral
GACGAACGCUGGCGGCGUGCCUAACACAUGCAAGUCGAACGAGAAUCGACGGACAGAGACUUCGGUCGAAGAGAGUUGAGGAAAGUGGCGAACGGGUGAGUAACGCGUGAGGAACCUACCUUUCAGUGGGGGACAACAGUUGGAAACGACUGCUAAUACCGCAUAAUGUUAUUUGGGGGCAUCCCCGAAUAACCAAAGAUUUAUUGCUGAAAGAUGGUCUCGCGUCUGAUUAGCUAGUUGGUGAGGUAACGGCUCACCAAGGCGACGAUCAGUAGCCGGCCUGAGAGGGUGAACGGCCACAUUGGGACUGAGACACGGCCCAAACUCCUACGGGAGGCAGCAGUGGGGAAUAUUGCACAAUGGGGGAAACCCUGAUGCAGCGACGCCGCGUGAGUGAAGAAGUAUUUCGGUAUGUAAAGCUCUAUCAGCAAGGAAGAAAAUGACGGUACUUGACUAAGAAGCCCCGGCUAACUACGUG